CCUACGGGGGGCUGCAGUCGAGAAUCAUUCACAAUGGGGGAAACCCUGAUGGUGCGACGCCGCGUGGGGGAAUGAAGGUCUUCGGAUCGUAAACCCCUGUCAUGUGGGAGCAAAUUAAAAAGAUAGUACCACAAGAGGAAGAGACGGCUAACUCUGUGCCAGCAGCCGCGGUAAUACAGAGGUCUCAAGCGUUGUUCGGAAUGACUGGGCGUAAAGCGUGCGUAGGCUGUGUCGUAAGUCGUGUGUGAAAGGCGCGGGCUCAACCCGCGGAUGGCAAAUGAUACUGCGAGACUAGAGUAAUGGAGGGGGAACCGGAAUUCUCGGUGUAGCAGUGAAAUGCGUAGAUAUCGAGAGGAACACUCGUGGCGAAGGCGGGUUACUGGACAUUAACUGACGCUGAGGCACGAAGGCGAGGGGAGCGAAAGGGAUUAGAUACCCGAGUAGUC
RNAcentral lists this ribosomal RNA (446 nucleotides) under uncultured bacterium. RNAcentral describes it as "partial 16S ribosomal RNA". It matches the Rfam family "Bacterial small subunit ribosomal RNA", at positions 338 to 795 of the family's 1533-position model. The record is from RNAcentral.